This is a long non-coding RNA of Erpetoichthys calabaricus (reedfish), 389 nucleotides long. RefSeq lists it as uncharacterized. The record is from RefSeq and is a predicted model, not a curated record. NCBI's taxonomy places the organism in Eukaryota, Metazoa, Chordata, Cladistia, Polypteriformes, Polypteridae. The transcript is spliced from 2 exons.
UGUUUUUUUCCAUCUCUAAUGCCUCCUCCACAGGAGUGUCUGUAAGAAUAGCAGUAGAGCGUCGUUUCCUGCCUUUUGUACUUUGUUUUCUGGGUCCUGCUUUGGGAUGUGGCCGUAUAGCUUCAGGUGAGAAGUCAUCUGUAGGCUCACUCAUCCUAGAGGUUGAUGGUCUUGAUGGGGAUGGACAGAAUGAAGGUGGCUCAGUUGGAGGAGACACAUUAGCAGUUGUCCCUGGAGGGACAGCAGGUGGUCCUGAUGGAGGAGGUGUCCCAGAAGUAGAAGGCACAGCAGAUAGGGCAAGAGGGCGAUCAGUGACUACUGAUGGAGCAAAGUCACAUUCUUGGAAUAUAUCCCUAUUAAAUGGACAAAUUCCUGUGCAUCUAAAUCCU